Molecule: transfer RNA, 77 nt
Filed under: Caudoviricetes sp.
Lineage: Duplodnaviria; Heunggongvirae; Uroviricota; Caudoviricetes
Description: tRNA-Cys
Rfam family: tRNA
About the family: Transfer RNA (tRNA) molecules are approximately 80 nucleotides in length. Their secondary structure includes four short double-helical elements and three loops (D, anti-codon, and T loops).
Source: RNAcentral
GUCACCAUAGUUUAAUUGGAAGAACUCGCAGGCUACAAUACCUGUUAAUGUGUCGGUUCGAAUCCGACUGGUGGCUA